UUUUGAUUGUGAGACAUCUAAGCAAAAAAUGAUACACAAAUUUAUAUAUCAAACAAAUCAAAACUCAAAAUUUUAGCCUCUUUUGGAUACUUAUUCGUGAUUGAGUUCGGUUUUGGUAUAGGUUUCUUUUGAGAUUUUGUUUUUUUUUUUCUGGUUUUGAGUCAUUCAAGUUCAGGUUUGGUUUAGAUAAACCCUAUAACCCAAGCUAUCGUAAAACAAGAGCUAUUCAAUACUUAUGUCGGAUUUAGAGUCAGUUUUAUUGGAUUGAAU
Molecule: long non-coding RNA, 270 nt
Filed under: Brassica napus (rape)
Lineage: Eukaryota; Viridiplantae; Streptophyta; Magnoliopsida; Brassicales; Brassicaceae
Description: long non-coding RNA (BNAP_LNC012964)
Source: RNAcentral